CACCGGCAGCUCUAGUGGUAGCUGUUUUUAUUGGGCCUAAAGCGUUCGUAGCCGGUUUGAUAAGUCUUUGGUGAAAUCCUGUAGCUUAACUAUGGGAAUUGCUGAGGAUACUGUCAGGCUUGAGGUCGGGAGAGGUUAGCGGUACUCCCAGGGUAGGGGUGAAAUCCUGUAAUCCUGGGAGGACCACCUGUGGCGAAGGCGGCUAACUGGAACGAACCUGACGGUGAGGGACGAAAGCUAGGGGCGCGAACCGGAUUAGAAACCCUAGUAGUCC
This 274-nucleotide ribosomal RNA is filed under the name uncultured prokaryote. RNAcentral describes it as "partial 16S ribosomal RNA". It matches the Rfam family "Archaeal small subunit ribosomal RNA", at positions 474 to 747 of the family's 1478-position model. The record is from RNAcentral.